GAUGACACUUUUUCCCCGCAUGAGGAAGAGGUUAAAGAAUUUCGGUGAAAGAUGGUCUUGCGUCUGAUUAGCUAGUUGGUGGGGUAACGGCCUACCAAGGCGACGAUCAGUAGCCGGCCUGAGAGGGUGUACGGCCACAUUGGGACUGAGACACGGCCCAAACUCCUACGGGAGGCAGCAGUGGGGAAUUUUGCACAAUGGAGGAAACUCUGAUGCAGCGACGCCGCGUGAACGAAGAAGGUCUUCGGAUUGUAAAGUUCUGUCCUGGGUGAAGAUAAUGACGGUAACUCAGGAGGAAGCCCCGGCUAACUACGUGCCAGCAGCCGCGGUAAUACGUAGGGGGCGAGCGUUGUUCGGAAUUAUUGGGCGUAAAGGGUACGUAGGCGGUUUGUUAAGUUUGGCGUUAAAUCACGGGGCUCAACCCCGUUCAGCGUUGAAACUGG
Molecule: ribosomal RNA, 443 nt
Filed under: uncultured Clostridium sp.
Lineage: Bacteria; Bacillati; Bacillota; Clostridia; Eubacteriales; Clostridiaceae
Description: bacterial SSU rRNA
Rfam family: Bacterial small subunit ribosomal RNA
Source: RNAcentral